GUGAAUCAUCAAAUUUUUGAACGCAAAUUGCACUCUCCUCGGAGAGUAUGCCUGUUUGAGGGUCAGCCUAUAAAAAAUCGACAUCGUUGCUGUUUCGCGGUGGCGUUCGUCGGAAAUUGGGUCAUCUUAAAUCUUUUGGUUUUAAGCGACUUAAAUUUUUCUUUUUGGUUCCUUGAAGUUUUUAAAGUUUUAUUUUUUUACACGUUUAGGUAUUCG
RNAcentral lists this unclassified non-coding RNA (216 nucleotides) under Glomerales sp. Its description in RNAcentral is "partial contains 5.8S ribosomal RNA and internal transcribed spacer 2". The stretch from base 1 to 65 matches the Rfam family "5.8S ribosomal RNA", at positions 84 to 154 of the family's 154-position model. Lineage: Eukaryota; Fungi; Glomeromycota; Glomeromycetes; Glomerales; Glomeraceae. The record is from RNAcentral.